AUACGUUCUCGGGUCUUGUACACACCGCCCGUCACACCACGAGAGUUUGUAACACCCGAAGCCGGUGGAGUAACCAUUUGGAGCUAGCCGUCGAAGGUGGGACAAAUGAUUGGGGUGAAGUCGUAACAAGGUAGCCGUAUCGGAAGGUGCGGCUGGAUCACCUCCUUUCUAAGGA
Molecule: ribosomal RNA, 175 nt
Filed under: Staphylococcus epidermidis NIHLM037
Lineage: Bacteria; Bacillati; Bacillota; Bacilli; Caryophanales; Staphylococcaceae
Description: partial 16S ribosomal RNA
Rfam family: Bacterial small subunit ribosomal RNA
Source: RNAcentral